CAAUAGCGUAUAUUAACGUUGUUGCAGUUAAAAAGCUCGUAGUUGGAUUUCUGGAGGGAGCGUCGGCCCGUAUUUACGAGUGCGUGACAUCUCUGUCCAUCCUUGCGGGAAGGCACGGCAUUGAUUUGUUGUGUCGGAUCGCAUCAUUUACUGUGAAAAAAUUAGAGUGUUCAAAGCAGGCUUUCGCUUGAAUACAUUAGCAUGGAAUAAUAAGAUAGGACUUUGGUGCUAUUUUGUUGGUUGAGCCUAAAGUAAUGAUUAAUAGGGAUAGUUGGGGGCACCUGUAUUGCGUUGUCAGAGGUGAAAUUCUUGGAUUUACGCAAGACAAACAGCUGCGAAAGCGUCUGCCAAGGAUGUUUUCAUUA
RNAcentral lists this ribosomal RNA (365 nucleotides) under uncultured eukaryote. Its description in RNAcentral is "partial 18S ribosomal RNA". It matches the Rfam family "Eukaryotic small subunit ribosomal RNA", at positions 592 to 975 of the family's 1831-position model. The record is from RNAcentral.